RNAcentral lists this microRNA (24 nucleotides) under Canis lupus familiaris (dog). RNAcentral's name for it is "cfa-miR-8799g". Lineage: Eukaryota; Metazoa; Chordata; Mammalia; Carnivora; Canidae. The record is from miRBase by way of RNAcentral.
CGCUGUUGGAUUCAUGCUCCCGGC